This 1410-nucleotide ribosomal RNA is filed under the name Staphylococcus aureus. Its description in RNAcentral is "bacterial SSU rRNA". It matches the Rfam family "Bacterial small subunit ribosomal RNA". Lineage: Bacteria; Bacillati; Bacillota; Bacilli; Caryophanales; Staphylococcaceae. The record is from RNAcentral.
AGCAGUCGAGCGACGGAGAGAGCUUGCUUCUCUGAUGUUAGCGGCGGACGGGUGAGUAACACGUGGAUAACCUACCUAUAAGACUGGGAUAACUUCGGGAAACCGGAGCUAAUACCGGAUAAUAUUUUGAACCGCAUGGUUCAAAAGUGAAAGACGGUCUUGCUGUCACUUAUAGAUGGAUCCGCGCUGCAUUAGCUAGUUGGUAAGGUAACGGCUUACCAAGGCAACGAUGCAUAGCCGACCUGAGAGGGUGAUCGGCCACACUGGAACUGAGACACGGUCCAGACUCCUACGGGAGGCAGCAGUAGGGAAUCUUCCGCAAUGGGCGAAAGCCUGACGGAGCAACGCCGCGUGAGUGAUGAAGGUCUUCGGAUCGUAAAACUCUGUUAUUAGGGAAGAACAUAUGUGUAAGUAACUGUGCACAUCUUGACGGUACCUAAUCAGAAAGCCACGGCUAACUACGUGCCAGCAGCCGCGGUAAUACGUAGGUGGCAAGCGUUAUCCGGAAUUAUUGGGCGUAAAGCGCGCGUAGGCGGUUUUUUAAGUCUGAUGUGAAAGCCCACGGCUCAACCGUGGAGGGUCAUUGGAAACUGGAAAACUUGAGUGCAGAAGAGGAAAGUGGAAUUCCAUGUGUAGCGGUGAAAUGCGCAGAGAUAUGGAGGAACACCAGUGGCGAAGGCGACUUUCUGGUCUGUAACUGACGCUGAUGUGCGAAAGCGUGGGGAUCAAACAGGAUUAGAUACCCUGGUAGUCCACGCCGUAAACGAUGAGUGCUAAGUGUUAGGGGGUUUCCGCCCCUUAGUGCUGCAGCUAACGCAUUAAGCACUCCGCCUGGGGAGUACGACCGCAAGGUUGAAACUCAAAGGAAUUGACGGGGACCCGCACAAGCGGUGGAGCAUGUGGUUUAAUUCGAAGCAACGCGAAGAACCUUACCAAAUCUUGACAUCCUUUGACAACUCUAGAGAUAGAGCCUUCCCCUUCGGGGGACAAAGUGACAGGUGGUGCAUGGUUGUCGUCAGCUCGUGUCGUGAGAUGUUGGGUUAAGUCCCGCAACGAGCGCAACCCUUAAGCUUAGUUGCCAUCAUUAAGUUGGGCACUCUAAGUUGACUGCCGGUGACAAACCGGAGGAAGGUGGGGAUGACGUCAAAUCAUCAUGCCCCUUAUGAUUUGGGCUACACACGUGCUACAAUGGACAAUACAAAGGGCAGCGAAACCGUGAGGUCAAGCAAAUCCCAUAAAGUUGUUCUCAGUUCGGAUUGUAGUCUGCAACUCGACUACAUGAAGCUGGAAUCGCUAGUAAUCGUAGAUCAGCAUGCUACGGUGAAUACGUUCCCGGGUCUUGUACACACCGCCCGUCACACCACGAGAGUUUGUAACACCCGAAGCCGGUGGAGUAACCUUAGAGCAGCC